UGAAUGCCAGUGUGUGUAUGCCAGUGUAUGUGUGUGCCAGUGUGUGUAUGCCAGUGUAUGUGUGUAUGAAUGCCAGUGUAUGUGUGUGUGUAUGCUGGUGUAUGAAUGCCAGUGUAUGUGUGUGUAUGCCAGUGUCUGAAUGCCAGUGUAUGUGUGUGCCAGUGUGUAUGCCGGUGUAUGAAUGCCAGUGUGUAUGCCAGUGUGUGUAUGCCAGUGUAUGUGUGUAUGAAAGCCAGUGUAUGUGUGUAUGUAUGCCAGUGUGUGGAUGCCAGUGUAUGUGUGUAUGUAUGUAUGCCAGUGUAUGAAUGCCAGUGUAUGUGUGUAUGUAUGCCAGUGUGUGUAUGCCAGUGCGUGUGUGUAUG
This is a non-coding RNA of Pelobates cultripes (western spadefoot toad), 362 nucleotides long. The record is from the annotation of a GenBank genome assembly. Lineage: Eukaryota; Metazoa; Chordata; Amphibia; Anura; Pelobatidae.